UCUUGGCCUCCCAAAGUACUGGGAUUACAGUCGUGAGCCACCCCACCCGGCCGAUGGUUGGUUUCUUAAGAAAGGUACUCAGGUCAGAAUGUGGAAUCCAAAGACGAAAUAGAAAGCAGAUAUGUCUCAUCCUGCUGAGGCUAACUGAACAUUCUGUAUACCUCUGGGAGAGAUCUUCUAUGUACAUGAACAUAGACAGAGUCUCACUCUGUUGCCCAGGUUGGAGUGCGA
RNAcentral lists this long non-coding RNA (231 nucleotides) under Homo sapiens (human). RNAcentral's name for it is "HSALNT0309248". The record is from RNAcentral. Lineage: Eukaryota; Metazoa; Chordata; Mammalia; Primates; Hominidae.